UCUCCACCUCACCUGUAUAUAUAAUACAUUCAUACCACCGACUCAUCCUGUACAUACUCAUACCACGACAAUAAACUAAUUACUAGUUUGCAACCGUUGCCUCGCGUAGUUGAUUCGUUACCUUCCCGAUCCAACACCACCUCAAAUCCUACAUUGGUUCCGAUACCGGGAAUCGGUGUGAGAGGCAGUUUCUCAUUCAACAUCAAAAAGAAGCGCGAGUGCAACAAGUGAAAUGAGUGCGCGUGCCUUUACCCGGGAAGAGUCUAUCUUUGUUCAACGCGUUAAAUAAAUAAUUUCGGUCACCAAACGCGUUCGCUAAAAACUCCCGCGCCGCAACACCUCGUCAGUGUACAUAAAUUUCAGUGCAGUGAUACACUGUGGAAGAAAAAGACUUCAUUCAAUUUUCUCCACGUGGUCGUUCUCCUGUGCGAAAAUGGCGUCCUGCGAAAAUCGAUACUCGGACGUCUUCUCCAACUUGCUGCGCACGCACAGCUUCAGUGCGCACGCAAAUUAGACACACCGGUCGCCUGGCGACGUGGUUCAGUUUAUUAGUGCCUGUGUGAUUCCCGCCUCGCUAACUACCGCGGCCGAGUGCACAUGUACCGAGUGUAAUGUUGUCUCUCUCGCACCCGCUAACACGUUGCGGAGCACCCAAAGAACGUUGUGUUGUGUUAGUGCUACAAUAAAGAAUUCUAACGACUUUAUUCAGAGGGCAACCACUGUUGUAAAUAAUCUAGCAUUUAAUCUCCGUUAGUAAUUUCAAUUAUUUUGUGAUUGUCGGAAACGCGCCGUGUCAACGGUCGAAUUUCUCCCGUUCAACAUACGCGAUACAAACGGGGAUUGCAUCGGAUGUCAACAUUCCGACUCUGCUACUCUGUCCCAACAAAUAGUCCACACAUCACACAGGCAGCAUUCACCUCUACCGCGAGGAUUCAUCGAGUACUCCGCUGGUACGAGGCAUACACAGCGACAACGGACACCGCAUGCGGGGCACGGGUCAAUGAGGAUGAUAACCUCACCCGCAGUCUCAUCGCACCUACAUCGCAUCUUGACCACUCGGGCUAACGAGGAUGGAAACAUCACCCGCUAGGUUCGCAGCGAUAUUCACGCAUGAGGGAGAGAAGAAAGUAACCUCAUGCCAAAUUACUCGGAUAGCAGCGUUGAGAGCAUCGGACCGACUCACUGAGCUCAUAUCCGCUAAACACAUCGUUGAGACUUACACAUCUGCCUUCAAACACACGAGCAUUCACACAGGGAUUCAUCUCAUCGGUCAUUUCAAUAAGCCCUGUCGCUCAUCUUCGCGGAUCUCACGCAUAUUUCCUGCGAAUCAACACUUGGACUCGGGAACAACAACAACUCGGAGAACAGCCCACGCCUAGCAGCAGCAAGAAAAAACUACGUUUUUUACUGAAGCACGGAGUCAUGUAGCGGCUCGCUACAUCCACACUGAGACGCGUAUCGCACCGCUCUCACAGACACACACCUGAGGAACACAUGCACGUUCCAGGUGUCGCAAUCGCUCCUGCUUAGUAGUCGUGUAGCUCUCGCCACUCGGUGGACAUCUCCACCUCACCUGUAUAUAUAAUACAUUCAUACCACCGACUCAUCCUGUACAUACUCAUAUCACGACAAUAAACGAAUUACUAGUUUACAACCGUUA
Diachasma alloeum is the source of this 1660-nucleotide long non-coding RNA. RefSeq lists it as uncharacterized. The transcript has 2 exons. Lineage: Eukaryota; Metazoa; Arthropoda; Insecta; Hymenoptera; Braconidae. The record is from RefSeq and is a predicted model, not a curated record.